This 19-nucleotide microRNA is filed under the name Schistosoma mansoni. Its description in RNAcentral is "sma-miR-8450-3p". Lineage: Eukaryota; Metazoa; Platyhelminthes; Trematoda; Strigeidida; Schistosomatidae. The record is from miRBase by way of RNAcentral.
UGAUUUUUUUGAUGGAAUU